GACGAACGCUGGCGGCGUGCUUAAUACAUGCAAGUAGAACGCACAGUUUAUACCGUAGCUUGCUACACCAUAAACUGUGAGUUGCGAACGGGUGAGUAACGCGUAGGUUACCUGCACGGUAGCGGGGGAUAACUAUUGGAAACGAUAGCUAAUACCGCCUAAUAUUGAUUAUUGCAUGAUAAUUGAUUGAAAGUUGCUAUUGCAUCACUACCAGUUGGACCUGCGUUGUAUUAGCUAGUAGGUGAGGUAACGGCUCACCUAGGCGAGGAUACAUAGCCGACCUGAGAGGAUGGUCAGCCAGCCUGGGACGGAGACCGGGCCCAGACUGCUACAGGAAGCAGCAAGAGGGAUUCUGGAGCAAGGGACGAGAAUCUGAGCGAGCAAGGCCGAAGGAGUGAAGAGGGUUGUCGGAUCGUAAAGCUCUGUUGUAAGGGAGGAACGGGUGUGAGGGUGGAAAGUUCACUCUGUGACGGUAUCUGACCAAAAAGGGACGGCUAACUACGUG
This 505-nucleotide ribosomal RNA is filed under the name uncultured bacterium. Its description in RNAcentral is "partial 16S ribosomal RNA". It matches the Rfam family "Bacterial small subunit ribosomal RNA", at positions 28 to 507 of the family's 1533-position model. The record is from RNAcentral.